RNAcentral lists this ribosomal RNA (330 nucleotides) under uncultured eukaryote. Its description in RNAcentral is "partial 18S ribosomal RNA". It matches the Rfam family "Eukaryotic small subunit ribosomal RNA", at positions 1470 to 1796 of the family's 1831-position model. The record is from RNAcentral.
CCCUUAGAUGUUCUGGGCCGCACGCGCGCUACACUGAUGCAUUCAACGAGUCUAAAGCCUGCUCUGAUAGGGGUGGGUAAUCUUUUGAAUGUGCAUCGUGAUUGGGAUAGAUGAUUGCAAUUUUUCAUCUUCAACGAGGAAUGCCUAGUAAACGCAAGUCAUCAGCUUGCAUUGAUUACGUCCCUGCCCUUUGUACACACCGCCCGUCGCUCCUACCGAUUGAAUGAUCCGAUGAAUAUCAUAGACUGAGAGUAUAAGCAGGUUCGCCUGUCUUUGCUUCUCGGGAAGUGAAGUAAAUCUUAUCAUUUAGAGGAAGGAGAAGUCGUAACA